This is a long non-coding RNA of Bactrocera oleae (olive fruit fly), 440 nucleotides long. RefSeq lists it as uncharacterized. The record is from RefSeq and is a predicted model, not a curated record. Lineage: Eukaryota; Metazoa; Arthropoda; Insecta; Diptera; Tephritidae.
ACAAGUGAAAGGCUUAACAGAGUCAUUACGAAAUACGCUCGUUACAGUUAAGAUGCCGAAAUUUUGUUUACUUUUAUUAUUGAGUAUACUCAGCUUGGCAGUUAUACAAGUACCUAUAGUUGCAGCUAAAUAUGCAGGAUGCAGGCCGACCACUUUAACACUGCGGCGUGGACAGCAAGUUUGUCACCGAAUUUGUGUGAAAGAAGGUGUGCGAAAUCAGUGCAAUAGAAUGAAAAUAUUCUCUCGAGUUAGCGUAUGCCCAUUGGGUUGCUGUCAACUUGGCGAUAGUUGUGUGUCGCUCAUAAGUCGAAAGUUUUGAAAUAAUAUGCCGUUCUGUAAAUUUGUUUAGUGUAUAAAUAUUUUGUGUGAGUUCCUUUGUAGUAUCUCUCAAACAAGGAAGAUGAAUAAAAUGUUUUUAAAAUUUUUGAAUAGAAACACUA